RNAcentral lists this ribosomal RNA (253 nucleotides) under uncultured prokaryote. Its description in RNAcentral is "partial 16S ribosomal RNA". It matches the Rfam family "Bacterial small subunit ribosomal RNA", at positions 524 to 776 of the family's 1533-position model. The record is from RNAcentral.
UACAGAGGUCCCAAGCGUUGUUCGGAUUCACUGGGCGUAAAGGGUGCGUAGGUGGUAGGGUAAGUCGGAUGUGAAAUCUCCGAGCUCAACUCGGAAAUGGCAUUGGAAACUGCUCUGCUCGAGGGUUGGAGGGGGGACUGGAAUGCUUGGUGUAGCAGUGAAAUGCAUAGAUAUCAAGCGGAACACCAGUGGCGAAGGCGAGUCCCUGGACAACUCCUGACACUGAUGCACGAAAGCUAGGGGAGCAAACAGG